UGUCGGGGUAACGGCCCAACAAGCCAGUAAUCGGUACGGGUUGUGGGAGCAAGAGCCCGGAGUUGGAUUCUGAGACGCGAAUCCAGGCCCUACGGGGCGCAGCAGGCGCGAAAACUUUACAAUGCGGGCAACCGUGAUAAGGGAACCUCGAGUGCCUGUAUAUGCAGGCUGUCUGGGUGUCUAAAACACACCUAAAGAAAGGGCCGGGCAAGACCGGUGCCAGCCGCCGCGGUAAUACCGGCGGCUCGAGUGGUGGCCACUUUUAUUGGGCUUAAAGCGUUCGUAGCUGGGUUAUUAAGUCCCUUGGGAAAUCCGACGGCUUAACCGUCGGGCGUCUAAGGGAUACUGGCAAUCUUGGAACCGGGAGAGGUGAGGGGUACUUCGGGGGUAGGGGUGAAAUCCUGUAAUCCUCGAGGGACCACCUGUGGCGAAGGCGCCUCACCAGAACGGCUUCGACAGUGAGGGACGAAAGCUGGGGGAGCAAACCGGAUUAGAU
Molecule: ribosomal RNA, 496 nt
Filed under: uncultured microorganism
Description: bacterial SSU rRNA
Rfam family: Archaeal small subunit ribosomal RNA
Source: RNAcentral